This 3026-nucleotide ribosomal RNA is filed under the name Candidatus Nitronauta litoralis. RNAcentral describes it as "23S ribosomal RNA". It matches the Rfam family "Bacterial large subunit ribosomal RNA". Lineage: Bacteria; Pseudomonadati; Nitrospinota; Nitrospinia; Nitrospinales; Nitrospinaceae. The record is from RNAcentral.
GUAAAUUUUUUUGGUCAAGCGUUUAAGGGCAUAAAGUGGAUUCCUUGGCGCCAAUGGUCGAUGAAGGGCGUAGCAAGCUGCGAUAAGCUUCGGGUAGCCGCUAACAGGCGUUGAUCCGGAGAUUCCCGAAUGGGGCAACCCGACACCGUUAAUACGGUGUCAUUCCUGGCUGAAUACAUAGGCCAGUGAAAGGCAACCGGGGGAAUUGAAACAUCUUAGUACCCCGAGGAAGAGAAAACAAAAGUGAUUCCCUUAGUAGCGGCGAGCGAACGGGGAUCAGCCUAAACCAGAUGGCACGUUAAAGCACGUACGCGUUGUGCCGCUGGGGUUGUGGGUCUUGGUCUGAGAGAAGUACGGAUCUCUCGGAAGGUUACAAAAACCGAUUUUAGUUUAAUGAGCUGGAACGCUCAGCCACAGACGGUGACAGCCCGGUGAACGAAAAGGUCGGUUCCUUCUGGACCAGGUACCCGAGUACCACGGGACACGAGAAAUCUUGUGGGAAUCUGGGAGGACCACCUCUCAAGGCUAAAUACCAAUUGGCGACCGAUAGUGAACAAGUACCGUGAGGGAAAGGUGAAAAGCACCCCGGUGAGGGGAGUGAAAUAGUACAUGAAACCUUAUGCCUACAAUCAGUGGGAGCACUAUAGUACCGGUUCGCCGGUGCCACGUGUGACCGCGUACCUUUUGCAUAAUGAACCGCCGAGUUACCUUAUGGAGCUAGGUUAAGCCGUUAGGUGUAGCCGUAGCGAAAGCGAGUCUGAAUAGGGCGUCCAGUUCCAUGGGGUAGACCCGAAGCCUAGUGAUCUACCCAUGACCAGGGUGAAGCGGAGGUAACACUUCGUGAAGGCCCGAACCAUUGAAUGUUGAAAAAUUCUUGGAUGAGUUGUGGGUAGGGGUGAAAGGCCAAUCAAACUAGGCAAUAGCUGGUUCUCCUCGAAAUAGUUUUAGGACUAGCCUUGUGUUAUAGCUUAUGGAGGUAGGGCUCUGGAUGGGCUAGGGGCCUCACCAGGUUACCAAACCCAACCAAUCUUCAAAUGCCAUAAGCCUUAUCACAGGAGUCAGACUACGGGAGCUAAGUUCCGUGGUCAAAAGGGAAAGAGCCCAGAUCACCAGCUAAGGUCCCUAAGACAGGCUAAGUGGGAAAGGUUGUGAAGAUACCUAGACAAUAAGGAGGUUGGCUUAGAAGCAGCAAUCCUUUAAAGAAAGCGUAAUAGCUCACUUAUCUAGUGUUUUCGCGCCGAAAAUUUAACGGGGCUUAAGCCUGGCACCGAAGCUGUGGGAUGUCGCAAGACAUCGGUAGAGGAGCGUUCUCUGUGGGAUGAAGCUCGACCGUAAGGACGGGUGGACUGCAGAGAAGUGAGUAUGGCGGUAUGAGUAACGAUAAAACAGGUGAGAAACCUGUUCGCCGAAAAUCCAAGGGUUCCUGAGGAAGGGUAAUCCUCUCAGGGUAAGUCGGCCCCUAAGGCGAGGCCGAAAGGCGUAGCUGAUGGGAAACGGGUUAAUAUUCCCGUACCACCUAUAGCGUGUAUCCUGCUAAGGGGUAACGUAGAAGGGUAGCUGAUCCGGGUGAUGGACGUCCCGGUACAAGCAAGUAGGAGGGAGAUUUAGGCAAAUCCGGAUCUCCUUAACUCCGAGAUGUGAUGUGGAGCUCUACCGUCAGGUAAAGCGAACUCAGUGAUCCCAUGCUACCGAGAAAAACCUCGUAGUUGGCGUUAUGGGUGACCGUACUCGAAACCAACGCAGGUGGAUGAGGAGAGAAUCCUAAGGCGCUUGAGAGAACUCUGGUUAAGGAACUUAGCAAAUUAGCUCCGUAACUUCGGGAUAAGGAGUGCCCUCAUUAGGUGAAAGGACUUGCUCCUGGAGCUGAGGGGGGUUGCAGUGACCAGGCAGCUGUGACUGUUUACUAAAAACACAGGACUCUGCUAAGUCGUAAGACGAUGUAUAGGGUCUGACGCCUGCCCGGUGCCGGAAGGUUAAAAGGAGAGGUCAACUUCGGUGAAGCCUCGAAUUGAAGCCCCGGUAAACGGCGGCCGUAACUAUAACGGUCCUAAGGUAGCGAAAUUCCUUGUCGGGUAAGUUCCGACCUGCACGAAUGGCGUAACAAUGGCUGCACUGUCUCAACCAGGGACUCAGUGAAAUUGACAUACCGGUGAAGAUGCCGGUUUCCCGCAGAAGGACGGAAAGACCCCGUGCACCUUUACUACAGCCUGAUAUUGGUUAUCGAUCUAGUAUGUGUAGGAUAGGUGGGAGACUUUGAAUCCAGGGCGCUAGCCUUGGUGGAGUCAACCUUGAAAUACCACCCUUAUUACAUUGCUAACCUAACCUAGGCCCGUUAUCCGGGUCAGGGACCAUGUCAGGUGGGUAGUUUGACUGGGGCGGUCGCCUCCUAAAAUGUAACGGAGGCGCGCGAAGGUUCUCUCAGGCUGAUUGGAAACCAGCCAACGAGUGCAAAGGCAUAAGAGAGCUUGACUGCGAGAGAGACAUCUCGAGCAGGUACGAAAGUAGGUCUUAGUGAUCCGGUGGUUCCAUGUGGAAGGGCCAUCGCUCAACGGAUAAAAGGUACGCCGGGGAUAACAGGCUGAUCGCUUCCAAGAGUCCAUAUCGACGAAGCGGUUUGGCACCUCGAUGUCGGCUCAUCGCAUCCUGGGGCUGAAGCAGGUCCCAAGGGUUGGUCUGUUCGCCCAUUAAAGCGGUACGCGAGCUGGGUUUAGAACGUCGUGAGACAGUUCGGUCCCUAUCCUCUGUGGGUGUUGGAAUUCUGAAAGGAUCUGUUCCUAGUACGAGAGGACCGGAAUGGACGAACCUCUAGUGUUCUGGUUGUGACGCCAGUUGCAUUGCCAGGUAGCUAUGUUCGGACUAGAUAACCGCUGAAAGCAUCUAAGCGGGAAACUAACCUUAAAAUAAGAAUUCCCUUCUCCUUCGGGAGACUCAAGGCUCCUUGAAGACUACAAGGUCGAUAGGCCGGGUGUGGAAGCGCAGUAAUGUGUGCAGCUAACCGGUACUAAUCAGCCGUGAGGCUUGGCCUU